Molecule: long non-coding RNA, 294 nt
Organism: Oryza brachyantha (malo sina)
Lineage: Eukaryota; Viridiplantae; Streptophyta; Magnoliopsida; Poales; Poaceae
Exons: 3
Source: RefSeq, a predicted model, not a curated record
GCUUAAAUGCCUAAUGAGUCUCGAGUGGUUUAUCAAUUAUGCUUCCUGCUAACCAGGACAAAACCAGAUUAGUUUGACAGGCGUCGUGCGUACAGAUUCACUUACGAAUCGGAGGCGUGCAGAUUAGUUUGACAGCAGGGUAGAUAAGAAGGACAAGAAGCCGGCCAAAACGUGGUUGUGAUCGCGUCAGUCCAAUAGGGAGCAUUGCAACCUGUUGUUGUAAGCUGUAAAAUUUAAUGGGGUGGUUAUCAAUUGCAGUGCUACAAUAUCUUUAUUUCUGGACUAUGAUGGAUA